This 191-nucleotide ribosomal RNA is filed under the name Xenorhabdus khoisanae. Its description in RNAcentral is "partial 16S ribosomal RNA". It matches the Rfam family "Bacterial small subunit ribosomal RNA", at positions 1 to 182 of the family's 1533-position model. The record is from RNAcentral. Lineage: Bacteria; Pseudomonadati; Pseudomonadota; Gammaproteobacteria; Enterobacterales; Morganellaceae.
CUUUAAUUGAAGAGUUUGAUCAUGGCUCAGAUUGAACGCUGGCGGCAGGCCUAACACAUGCAAGUCGAGCGGCAGCGGGAAGAAGCUUGCUUCUUUGCCGGCGAGCGGCGGACGGGUGAGUAAUGUCUGGGGAUCUGCCCGAUGGAGGGGGAUAACCACUGGAAACGGUGGCUAAUACCGCAUAACCUCUU